UGAGUUGAGUUGAGUUGAUCCAUG
This 24-nucleotide non-coding RNA is filed under the name Arabidopsis thaliana (thale cress). Lineage: Eukaryota; Viridiplantae; Streptophyta; Magnoliopsida; Brassicales; Brassicaceae. The record is from RNAcentral.